CUACGGAGGGUGCAAGCGUUAAUCGGAAUUACUGGGCGUAAAGCGUACGUAGGCGGUUAGUUAAGUUAGAUGUGAAAGCCCCGGGCUUAACCUGGGAACUGCAUUUAAAACUGGCUAACUAGAGUUAAGUAGAGGGGAGUGGAAUUUCAGGUGUAGCGGUGAAAUGCGUAGAGAUCUGAAGGAACACCAGUGGCGAAGGCGACUCCCUGGACUUGAACUGACGCUGAGGUACGAAAGCGUGGGUAGCAAACGGGAUUAGAAACCCCAGUAGUCC
This 274-nucleotide ribosomal RNA is filed under the name uncultured bacterium. Its description in RNAcentral is "partial 16S ribosomal RNA". It matches the Rfam family "Bacterial small subunit ribosomal RNA", at positions 523 to 796 of the family's 1533-position model. The record is from RNAcentral.